Molecule: long non-coding RNA, 1334 nt
Organism: Arabidopsis lyrata subsp. lyrata
Lineage: Eukaryota; Viridiplantae; Streptophyta; Magnoliopsida; Brassicales; Brassicaceae
Exons: 2
Source: RefSeq, a predicted model, not a curated record
AAAGUCUAUAACCGCAAUUUGGGGCUUCAUCUUUAGCGCCUUGUUGGGGAUUUUGUUCUGUAUCAUUACCCAUAAGCUCAAUCUAACAAUCGGAAUCAUUCCUUCGCUUAAUGUAGCUGCUGAUCUUCUCGGCUUCUUCUUCGUCAAAUCGUGGACUGGGUUCUUGUCUAAAUUAGGGUUUUCACCUAAACGCUUUACUAAGCAAGAGAACACUGUUAUUCAGACUUGCGUUGUCUCCUGCUACGGUUGUGCUUAUAGCGGUAACUUUAUCAACAGGAGGAUCAACAUAGCCCAAUUCCACAUAGUCUUCCCAAAAUCAGAUGAAUAGCCCAAUUCCACAUAGUCGAUAUGCAGCAGAUGCACAUUGAUGGCCUCUGACACAUGGUGUUCCAAGCCACCUUCAUGGCUACAAACCUGAAAGACUCUAAAUUUCUGGAUAAUAAGAUGGAUCAUGCCCAUCUCUUAUUUAUGCCUUGGAGCCAAAGUUGAGCCACACACGAAAUUGAAUCAGCUUCAGCCAUUUUUUUCUCGGUAGAACUUUGGUAAGGCAUUCAUUUUAGUGUAGUUUACGUAUAGACAUAGCUAGUCUAGGGAGAUUUGUUGGGGAUUGUUGCUUUGUUUGACAGCUUACCAACUGAGUUGGAUUUUGAAAGGAAAGUAGGGGAAAAUGUUAAAUUUGCUAAAGAAUGAAGGAACUCAGUUGGUUUUUUUUCAAUCUUGUGCAGCUUUCAUGUCGUUUUCCCCUAUGCCAUACCCUUUAGACUGUUUUUAUUCUUGCUUUUGACUCUGUUUAGAGCCUCUUGCUCGUUGUAGAUUGAUUUUAUUUUGUGACUAUAUAUGGCUACAUUAUGGUUAUUAGGUAGGGGUGCUUACAUAGCAUAGUCAAUGGGUAAAAAUCCAGAGUCAUCUUCAUGUUUAAACUAGUCCAAAAACCGCAAAGAGCAACACUUCUGCUUUAGUUGUAUCGUUGAAAUGGUAAGGAUUAGGAUAAUCUUGAUAGGUUUGAGCUGUCUUGUCUUUUUAGAUUUGUAUUAAUGUUGCAAAUUUGAGGCGUGGAAGGUUUGACCGUGUAUCAGGGAAGGUUUCAAGAAAGGAAGAAGUUGAAGAACAAGAGCAUAGAUUAAUUGUCAGGUUGUUUCUGAUUACAUGGAAACUUGAAAGGGUAAGAACAAUCAAGAAAUAGAAGCUAAUCUUGUUUAGUUCAUGCUUGUUUUGUUGUCCUAAGCAGAGAUAAACACUGGUUUUGUUAAUUCACUUCACUCGUAAAUUUUUACGUCAAAUCUAUCAUCUUGUAACACUUGCUUAUUUCAUUAAAUGCAUAACUCUUUCUUUGA